RNAcentral lists this long non-coding RNA (1942 nucleotides) under Patiria miniata (bat star). Its description in RNAcentral is "uncharacterized LOC119746026, transcript variant X1". Lineage: Eukaryota; Metazoa; Echinodermata; Asteroidea; Valvatida; Asterinidae. The record is from RNAcentral.
AGGAGGACCGACAGAUGAACGGAUGACCUGCUUGCUGGGCUUCCCAUUACUAAUUCUUGAGACAUGAGGACCACUGACUGGUAAGGGAAUUGCCCUAUGAUGGAUGAGCCUGCCUCAAGCUGCCAUAAGCUGGGAGGACCGACGGUUGACUGACUCUGCCUGCUUAGUUGGCCAUUACCAAUUCCUGAGGCCCAGUGUUUUCGUACCCCUGUCCAUUUAGGAAAGAGUUGCAUCUUUCAUCAAAGAAACUGACAUCUAAAAGUUGAGACAAACUGGAUGAGCUAGGCUGCUUUGUCUGGACGAAAAUGAACCCUUCAAGGCUCCAACAGCCUCAUCACACAGAAACUCGAGGAACCGGAAGCAGGAAGGAGGACCGACGGAUAAACGGAUGACCUGCUUGCUGGGCUUCCCAUUACUGAUUCUUGAAAAAUGAUGACCACUGACUGAUGAGGGAAUUGACUCAUGAGAUGAGGAUGAGCCUGCCUCAAGCCAUCGUAAGCUGGGAGGACUGACGAUGGACUGACACCGCCUGCUGGCCUGGCCAUUACUGAUUCUUGAGGACAUGAGGUCCACCAAGCUUGGACGAGACUGGACAAUGACGAAGCUGCUCUACUGGACAAGGAUGCCCUCAUCGGAAACUUGAGUUUAAAAAACUAGCUUGCACAAAAUGAAAUGAUAAAUCAGACUGCAUAAUGCAAUGUCAUUAAUGUUAUACACUAAGGCAACAACACUAAACGAAAAGUAAUUGAUUUCAUUAAAUUAUUUAUGCCUCUAAAAUAAUCUUAAACCGGAUACUGCAACAGACAGUUAACAUUGGACAAUAAUGGAAACUUGCUGAAAAAUUAUUGUCAGGGUAAUAAUUUGUCACUGGCUUUUUAGCGGUGACAUUUCUGGGAGAAGGGAUGUUCCUUUGAUCUGUCCUGGGUCAUCCAAAAUUAUUACAUCAAUAAGUUCAUAAUUUCAUACUCCUUACCUUUAAUGCAUUCAAUUGGAUCUUCUCGGUAAAUUGUAAACGAGGUCUCGCCAAAGGCUUUCUAUUUGCUUUUUGUUCAGUUGACAAUGGAGAAUUUUGCUCUAUAAAUCUAAUUUGAUAUUGAAAGUGCAUUUUUAAGAAAACCAAUUUAAGUCAUAAGAGUUUUGAAAGAUUUCAAAAAGGAUUAAUUUAUUGUUUAAAAACUGAAGAAAUGUAACAAACUUUAUUUAAAUUUAACGUCUUUAACAAGACGUCGGUUUAACUAAAACGUGACUUUAUUUCCAUUGUAUAUUUAUUAGAAAACACAAGAACGUUUAAUUUUUAGGAAAAUUUAAAGAAUAAACUGUUCAAGAACUUCUAUCCAUCAAAAUGCAUUGCAACAGGUAUAAGUGACACUCGAAUUACAUUUGUGUUUGUCCUUUUGUAAUUUAUUUCAUUGCACUUUUUUUACUUGUUAUAUUUUUUACUUCGUAUGCACAAUUGUUUUUCUUGGUGGUUUUGCAUGUCUUUUCAUUUUCUUAUUGAUAAUUAACUAACCUCACAAAAGGAUAAACGCAAUAUAUUUCGAGUGUUGAACUUGCCUGGCAUCAAAUAUUUUUUUUCACAUAAUAGCUAAAUUAGACAAAAUAUAGUCCUGAAAUGUUUUGAAAUAAUCUAGGAAUUUUUUUGGAGGGGGGGCGGGGCAUUCCCAAGUUUUAUCUCCCUUUUUAAACUCUUGUUCACAAAAUGGCGAAAUACAAAAACCUGGCUUCACCGUGUACAGUCAUGUAAGAGGUGGCUUAUGUAAUAAUCAUCUAUGGUAUUAUAAAGUGAUUAUUAAUUUCUCAAAUUUAUUGGCCUUCUGACCAACUUUUUCCUCAUUUUGAAUCUUUUGUAUUUGUUUGUAUGAGUUGGUUUAAAUAUUUGUAUGUCAAUAAGACUAAGGAAUUAAACAAAAUAAAUUAAACUUGAAAGAUGUGAGACACUUGA